UAAGACUGAUAUUUUUUUUAUCGAUAUGGAGGGAUGGAUUCAGGGAGUCAUUCAUUAACACUAGGCUGACUUUAUGCUUGGGAAAAGACUCUUUACGACGAAGUUAAGGCUGGUGAUAGCACAAGGAAAAUUUACUAGAGAAAAUAUUAUCGACUAAGAAACCAGGAUGUCAAGGGAUAUGAUGAGCUUACAAUGGAUAAAACCAGAGCUGCAGUGAAGGAUUUGUAUGCAUGAAUCUUGAUCCCGAUUUGAAGUGAGGAAUCAAUCUCGAAGAGAAUUCAGAAACUCAGAGAUGAAGAACUACUGCCUCAAGUUAUUGAACUGUUGAAGGGCCUAACACGAACCGGGAAAGUUAUGCUUGAAUCUCAUGAAACCCAAAACAAAAUUCUUUCUGAAGUGAAAUCUUCGCCUGCCCUUCAUUAAUUGGAAAGUUCAGCAACGAUUCUCAUCGACUUGCUACGCUUCAACUCGAAGCCGAGCUUCGAAAUUGGCGUGCUUCCUUUUCCGAGUAUGUUGCAGCUCAAAGAGCAUACAUUCAAGCUCUUCAUGGUUGGCUAACUAAGUUCUUGGUUCCUGAAGUCGAAUUUUAUUCCAGGGGGAGGAGCUCUGGUGCACCAUAUGGAGGUACUGGGCCUCCACUUCUUGUGAUAUGUUAUCACUGGUUAACUUCGAUGGAGGAGUAACCGGAUAAGGCGGUCACCUUUUCAUUGAAAAGCUUUUCUAAGGAGGUGAAGGAACCGUGACCACAGAAAGGGGAGGAGCAGCAACAGAAGAGGAAAGUCGAUGGUAUGGCAACAGAACUUGAUAGAAGGACCAUGGCAUUCCAGAAAGAAGAAACCAGGUUCUUGGAAUCCAAGCUGCUUACGGAGUAUAAUUGUAUAAACCCGAGCCGGAGAUGGAGCAGGAGGAUGAAUAUCUAAUGGAGAAGAAAGAUCAGUUGGAUAUGAUGAGGAAGAGGUUGGAUGUAAACACCACAAUUACAUGUCUAAUGACUGUUGAUGAAAGAUCUUUGCAAGAACAUCAAGAUUAUCAGUUUCCUUUUCUUUUCCGGGCCGAUUGAGACCUUCUGCAAGUGCUGCAUUUAGCUAAAACUUAGAGUUACAAUAAACCCAAAAUCAUUAGUAGGAAUGCAUGAAAG
Long non-coding RNA from Hibiscus syriacus, 1138 nucleotides. RefSeq lists it as uncharacterized. The transcript is spliced from 3 exons. Lineage: Eukaryota; Viridiplantae; Streptophyta; Magnoliopsida; Malvales; Malvaceae. The record is from RefSeq and is a predicted model, not a curated record.